CCAUGCCGCGUGUGUGAAGAAGGUCUUCGGAUUGUAAAGCACUUUAAGUUGGGAGGAAGGGCAGUAAGCUAAUACCUUGCUGUUUUGACGUUACCGACAGAAUAAGCACCGGCUAACUCUGUGCCAGCAGCCGCGGUAAUACAGAGGGUGCAAGCGUUAAUCGGAAUUACUGGGCGUAAAGCGCGCGUAGGUGGUUUGUUAAGUUGGAUGUGAAAGCCCCGGGCUCAACCUGGGAACUGCAUCCAAAACUGGCAAGCUAGAGUACGGUAGAGGGUGGUGGAAUUUCCUGUGUAGCGGUGAAAUGCGUAGAUAUAGGAAGGAACACCAGUGGCGAAGGCGACCACCUGGACUGAUACUGACACUGAGGUGCGAAAGCGUGGGGAGCAAACAGGAUUAGAAACCCUUGUAGUCCAGACCAAGUCU
This 423-nucleotide ribosomal RNA is filed under the name Pseudomonas viridiflava. Its description in RNAcentral is "bacterial SSU rRNA". It matches the Rfam family "Bacterial small subunit ribosomal RNA", at positions 392 to 807 of the family's 1533-position model. Lineage: Bacteria; Pseudomonadati; Pseudomonadota; Gammaproteobacteria; Pseudomonadales; Pseudomonadaceae. The record is from RNAcentral.